RNAcentral lists this non-coding RNA (725 nucleotides) under Pan troglodytes (chimpanzee). The record is from RNAcentral. Lineage: Eukaryota; Metazoa; Chordata; Mammalia; Primates; Hominidae.
AGUAACUGGCAUUUGGUUACGGGGUGGCCGUUUUUCUGCGUGGACCAAGCAGGGUCCCAGUUCAAGUUUCUGCUGCGUAUCUGAUAAUCUUGAGGUAUUUAUGAAGGACUCCUUUGAAAGUUCUCUACUGAGUUUCCUUAAGGAAUUGGAAUAUUUUCUACAGGAAUUAGGAGUGUGACUUCAGGAAUGGCUUAUUCCAAGUUGUAAAACUAUCCCCUGUCAUGAAGAGUUUCUCUCUUGACACCUAGGCUGGAAUGCAAUGGCGCAAUCUCAGCUGACUGCAACCUCCACCUCCGAGGUUCAAGCAAUUCUCCUGCCUCAGCCUCCUGAGUAACUGGGAUUACAGGCGCCCGCCACCACACCUGGCUAAUUUUUGUAUUUUUAGUAGAGAUGGGGUUUCAGCAAGUUGGCCAGGCUGGUCUCAAACUCCUGAGCUCAAGUGAUCCACCCGCCUAGGCUUCCCAAAGUGCUGGAACUAUAGGCGAGACCAAUUUGUUGAAUUGGACAGCUGGAAGCAAGGAAGGGAAAAAGUAUUUCACCGAAAAGGCAGAAGACUGGCAUCAAUUGCAAGCUGUGGAAUCAAGACAACUUUGGCUGAGUCCCAUUUUAUAUAGGACUAAAGGAGAGUGCUGUCCUCAAGGGCAAUAAUACUUAUGAGAACAAAGAAGACUAUGGAGAAAUUUUAGGCAGUAGAAGAGAGCAGAAAGGCCAAGAGGAUCAGGGUU